RNAcentral lists this ribosomal RNA (450 nucleotides) under uncultured bacterium. Its description in RNAcentral is "partial 16S ribosomal RNA". It matches the Rfam family "Bacterial small subunit ribosomal RNA", at positions 338 to 795 of the family's 1533-position model. The record is from RNAcentral.
CCUACGGGGGGCAGCAGUGAGGAAUAUUGGUCAAUGGGCGUAAGCCUGAACCAGCCAUCCCGCGUGAAGGAAGAAGGCGCUAUGCGUCGUAAACUUCUUUUCCAGAGGAAUAAAAUUUCGUACGUGUACGGAACUGAAGGUACUUUGGGAAUAAGCAUCGGCUAACUCCGUGCCAGCAGCCGAGGUAAUACGGAGGAUGCGAGCGUUAUCCGGAUUUAUGGGGUCGUAAGGGGGUUAAGACGGCUGAGGAGAAAACCUUCAGCUUAACUGGAGAACUGCCAGUGAUACUGUUAGUCUUGAGUACGGUCAAGGUAGGCGGAAUGUGUAAUGUAGCGGUGAAAUGCUUAGAUAUUACACAGAACACCGAUUGCGAAGGCAGCUUACUGGGCCAUUACUGACGCUGAUGCACGAAAGCGUGGGGAGCGAACAGGAUUAGAUACCCCUGUAGUC